This 442-nucleotide ribosomal RNA is filed under the name uncultured bacterium. RNAcentral's name for it is "partial 16S ribosomal RNA". It matches the Rfam family "Bacterial small subunit ribosomal RNA", at positions 338 to 795 of the family's 1533-position model. The record is from RNAcentral.
CCUACGGGGGGCAGCAGUGGGGAAUAUUGGGCAAUGGGCGCAAGCCUGACCCAGCAACGCCGCGUGAAGGAAGAAGGCUCUCGGGUUGUAAACUUCUUUUAAGCAGGAAGAGCAGAAGACGGUACCUCUUGAAUAAGCCACGGCUAACUACGGACCAGCAGCCGCGGUAAUACGUAGGUGGCCAGCGUUGUCCCGAUUUCCUGGGUGUAAAGGGCGUGCAGCCGGGAAGACAGGUCCGAUGUGAAAUCCCGGGGCUAAACCGCGGAACUGCCUUUGAAACUGUUUUUCUUGAGUACCGGAGAGGUCAUCGGAAUUCCUUGUGUAGCGGUGAAAUGCGUAGAUAUAAGGAAGAACACCAGUGGCGAAGGCGGAUGACUGGACGGCAACUGACGGUGAGGCGCGAAAGCGUGGGGAGCAAACAGGAUUAGAUACCCGGGUAGUC